RNAcentral lists this ribosomal RNA (492 nucleotides) under uncultured bacterium. RNAcentral's name for it is "partial 16S ribosomal RNA". It matches the Rfam family "Bacterial small subunit ribosomal RNA", at positions 29 to 507 of the family's 1533-position model. The record is from RNAcentral.
AGUGAACGCUGGCGGUAGGCCUAACACAUGCAAGUCGAACGGCAGCACAGUAAGAGCUUGCUCUUACGGGUGGCGAGUGGCGGACGGGUGAGGAAUACAUCGGAAUCUACUUUUUCGUGGGUGAUAACGUAGGGAAACUUACGCUAAUACCGCAUACGACCUACGGGUGAAAUCAGGGGAUCUUCGGACCUUGCGCGAUUGAAUGAGCCGAUGUCGGAUUAGCUAGUUUGCGUGGUAAAGGCCCACCAAGGCGACGAUACGUAGCUGGUCUGAGAGGAUGAUCAGCCACACUGGAACUGAGACACGGUCCAGACUCCUACGGGAGGCAGCAGUGGGGAAUAUUGGACAAUGGGCGCAAGCCUGAUCCAGCAAUACCGCGUGGGUGAAGAAGGCCUUCGGGUUGUAAAGCCCUUUUGUUGGGAAAGAAAAGCAGCAGAUUAAUACGCCGCUGUUCUGACGGUACCCAAAGAAUAAGCACCGGCUAACUUCGUG